UCACAGCACACCACACACACAACCAAUACAAGUGUAUACACAGACACAGGCAUAUAGAGAGACUCGAGGAAGUGAGGGAGUCGCGGGGAAGAAGAAGGAAAGGAAAGGGGUGAGGCCGCGCCGCUACUGGCGAUCGUCGAGCAACCUCUGUCGCGCUUUACCGUCGGUCACUGCUGCUGAAUCGCCAUCAGAAAUGGAACCGUGGAGAAAAGGAUGUCAAGACGCGAAGAGAGAGAGUCCGCGAGAAGAGGGAGGCCGACUGCGUCCUGUCGCCGCCGCUGGAGGGAGGCCGUUCGCGUCCAGCUCUCUGCGGCUGUUGCAUCGCCAUCAUCGUGCGCCGCCGUCGAGCCCAAAGCUGCCGCCAUCGCACGAAGCAGAGAGAGUGAAAGACGUGAUGGAGGGGUGAGGGAGGAGUUGCCACUGCUGUUGCUAGGGCUAGCCGCCGGAGCCAUUGUCGUCGCCACUGGAGUUAGCUGCUAAGGAGCGUUCUGUCAUCGUGAAACUUGAAAGGGGAUGUCACUGCCAUUGUUGCCGGUAGCACUGUUCCCGUUCUGGUUCCAAUUCCUUCGUUUAUGAGACCUGUAACAUUUUCUUCCUUGCUUUGUUACCAUUUUGUUUCUCUGUCAUAUUUUCGUCCUAAUUAUGUUAGCAUAUUUUAUUCUAGUGUUGCUAAUUUAUCUCCUAAACAAUUAUGAUUGGUGCUGAGAUCAUUGUUGCUGCUGCUCCAAGAGGAAAGUUGUUGCUACUAGGAAUUAAAAACAAACGAAUGAUUUGUUGCGUUUAAUUACCAAGUUUUGGCUAAUUGAGAAUGUUCCUUACUUGGGAUGCAGUGCCUUGUAUACUUAUUUUCAGGUGUGUGGCACUUAUUAGAACUUCUCCAUGAGAAAUGAGAAAGGAGCUGUAUGAACAUGAUGGAGUUUGUAAUUUGUAGUUUACAUUUUGGAGAUUUAUAAUUCCUUGUUUUUCUUGUCUUAUGUAUCUAUCUAGUUCAUUAGGGUUCUUCAAUAUGUCUUGUUAGUUUGUA
This is a non-coding RNA of Arachis ipaensis, 1024 nucleotides long. Lineage: Eukaryota; Viridiplantae; Streptophyta; Magnoliopsida; Fabales; Fabaceae. The record is from RefSeq and is a predicted model, not a curated record.